Molecule: ribosomal RNA, 521 nt
Filed under: Drepanura sp. 1 YHD-2019
Lineage: Eukaryota; Metazoa; Arthropoda; Collembola; Entomobryomorpha; Entomobryidae
Description: partial 16S ribosomal RNA
Rfam family: Bacterial large subunit ribosomal RNA
Source: RNAcentral
UCGACUGUUUAACAAAAACAUUUUUUUAACUGUUUAUUUAAAGUAAAGCCUGCCCACUGAUAUUUGAAGGGCCGCGGUAUUUUGACCGUGCUAAGGUAGCAUAAUCAUUAGUCUUUUAAUUAAGGAAUAGAAUGAAUGGCUAAACCUUAAAGUGUUGUUUUAACAUUAAAAAUUAAAUUUUUGUUUUAAGUGAAAACUCUUAAGUUUGAAAAAAAGACGAUAAGACCCUUUAGAGCUUUAUUUUUUGUUUAAUGCAGAUAUUAGAAGAGUCCUAAUUUUUUAAUAAAUAAUUUGGUUGGGGCAAUCUAAGAAUAAAUAAAACUUCUUGAGACUUAGAUAAUCUUAAUAUUUAAAAAUUAAAAAGUUACCUAAGGGAUAACAGCGUAAUGAUUUUUGAGAGUUCAUAUCGACAAAAUUGUUUGCGACCUCGAUGUUGAAUUAAAAUUUCUUUUUGGAGCAGUAUUUUGAAAAGGUAGUCUGUUCGACUAUUGAUUUUUUACAUGAUUUGAGUUCAGACCGGA